Molecule: ribosomal RNA, 484 nt
Filed under: uncultured bacterium
Lineage: Bacteria
Description: partial 16S ribosomal RNA
Rfam family: Bacterial small subunit ribosomal RNA
Source: RNAcentral
AUUGAACGCUGGCGGCAGGCCUAACACAUGCAAGUCGAGCGGAUGAAGGGAGCUUGCUCCUGGAUUCAGCGGCGGACGGGUGUGUAAUGCCUAGGAAUCUGCCUGGUAGUGGGGGAUAACGUCCGGAAGCGGGCGCUAAUACCGCAUACGUCCUGAGGGAGAAAGUGGGGGAUCUUCGGACCUCAUGCUAUCAGAUGAGCCUAGGCCGGAUUAGCUAGUUGGUGGGGUAAAGGCCUACCAAGGCGACGAUCCGUAACUGGUCUGAGAGGAUGAUCAGUCACACUGGAACUGAGACACGGUCCAGACUACUACGAGAGGCAGCAGUCGGGAAUAGUGGCCAAUGGGCGGAAGCCUGAUCCAGCCGUGGCGCGUGUGUGAAGAAGAACUCCGGAUUGGAAAGCACUUUAGGUGGGGGGGAAGAGCAGUAGGUUGAUACCUUGCUGUUGUGACGUUACCAGCCGAAUAAGCACCGGCUAACUUCGUG